This 238-nucleotide ribosomal RNA is filed under the name uncultured bacterium. Its description in RNAcentral is "partial 16S ribosomal RNA". It matches the Rfam family "Bacterial small subunit ribosomal RNA", at positions 15 to 239 of the family's 1533-position model. The record is from RNAcentral.
GAUCCUGGCUCAGGACGAACGCUGGCGGCGCGCCUAACACAUGCAAGUCGAACGGAGCUAUGUUGAAAGCUUGCUGGAUAUAUAGCUUAGUGGCGGACGGGUGAGUAACACGUGAGCAACCUGCCUUUCAGAGUGGAAUAACGUUUGGAAACGAACGCUAAUACCGCAUAACGUCAGAGGAUGGCAUCGUCUUUUGUACCAAAGAAUUUAUUCGCUGAAAGAAUGGGCGUCGCGGCCG